This 226-nucleotide ribosomal RNA is filed under the name uncultured bacterium. RNAcentral's name for it is "partial 16S ribosomal RNA". It matches the Rfam family "Bacterial small subunit ribosomal RNA", at positions 1275 to 1500 of the family's 1533-position model. The record is from RNAcentral.
UUCAAAAAUGGUCUCAGUUCGGACUGUAGGCUGCAACUCGCCUACACGAAGUUGGAAUUGCUAGUAAUCGUGGAUCAGCAUGCCACGGUGAAUACGUUCCCGGGUCUUGUACACACCGCCCGUCACACCAUGGGAGCUGGUAACACCCGAAGUCAGUAGUCUAACCGCAAGGAGGACGCUGCCGAAGGUGGGAUUAGCGACUGGGGUGAAGUCGUAACAAGGUAUC